Molecule: ribosomal RNA, 454 nt
Filed under: uncultured bacterium
Lineage: Bacteria
Description: bacterial SSU rRNA
Rfam family: Bacterial small subunit ribosomal RNA
Source: RNAcentral
UACGGAAGGCAGCAGUGGGGAAUAUUGCACAAUGGGCGCAAGCCUGAUGCAGCCAUACCGCGUGUAUGAAGAAGGCCUUCGGGUUGUAAAGUACUUUCAGUCGUGAGGAAGGUGUUAAGGUUAAUAACCUUAGCAAUUGACGUUAGCGACAGAAGAAGCACCGGCUAACUCCGUGCCAGCAGCCGCGGUAAUACGGAGGGUGCGAGCGUUAAUCGGAAUUACUGGGCGUAAAGGGCACGCAGGCGGUUAAUUAAGUUGGAUGUGAAAUCCCCGGGCUUAACCUGGGAAUGGCAUUCAAGACUGGUUAGCUAGAGUCUUGUAGAGGGGGGUAGAAUUCCAUGUGUAGCGGUGAAAUGCGUAGAGAUGUGGAGGAAUACCGGUGGCGAAGGCGGCCCCUGGACAAAGACUGACGCUCAUGUGCGAAAGCGUGGGGAGCAAACAGGGAUUAGAUACC